RNAcentral lists this ribosomal RNA (491 nucleotides) under uncultured bacterium. RNAcentral's name for it is "bacterial SSU rRNA". It matches the Rfam family "Bacterial small subunit ribosomal RNA", at positions 8 to 474 of the family's 1533-position model. The record is from RNAcentral.
AGAGUUUGAUCCUGGCUCAGAACGAACGUUGGCGGCGUGGUUUAGGCAUGCAAGUCGAACGAGAAAGCUUCCUUCGGGAAGUGAGUAAAGUGGCGAACGGGAGAGUAACGCGUGGGAAACCUGCCCUUCAGCGGGGGACAACACUUCUAACGAGGUGCUAAUACCGCAUACGAUCCGAGCACUGCAUGGUGCUUGGAUGAAAGAUGGCCUCUGCUUGCAAGCUGUCACUGAAGGAUGGUCCCGCGUCCCAUUAGCUUGUUGGUGAGGUAACGGCUCACCAAGGCGACGAUGGGUAGCCGGCCUGAGAGGGUGUCCGGCCUCACUGGGACUGAGAUACGGCCCAGACUCCUACGGGAGGCAGCAGUCGAGAAGCUUCGGCAAUGGACGAAAGUCUGACCGAGCGACGCCGCGUGAGCGAUGAAGGCCCUAGUGGUCGUAAAGCUCUGUCAGGAGGGAAUAAAUGCCUGUGGUUAAUACCCGCAGGAGUGAAG